GCUGCAAGCGAAGCUGGACACCUUACUUCCUCCUUCCCCGCCCGCGGCCAGCCCGGCUUUGCGGAGGGAUAUCUCACCCCUCCUCUGUCCCUCUCCUCCCUUCGCCCGCCUCCCCCCCCUUUUUGCUCUUGCUCCCCCCGCCCCACCUCACCCCGCCUUUCUCCUUUUGCAAGAAAAUAAUUUGACAGUCGAUUUGCUGACAGGGGAAGAAUUUGCAUCCUGGAUUAAAAAAAAAAAAGGCCGAGAGGAGCUUGGGAACGGUUGCUAGGGGUGGGUAAUGGUGAAGAAGGAGGGGGUACCGAGGAUCGGCUGAGGGAGGGGGCGAGGGUGGGGAGCCAUGCAAAAGCCCCACCGGCCCCCUGUCGCACCCCCCAAGCGGAGACUGGGCUUCCUGUCUUUUUGCCAUGCACUUGUUGCAGAAGCAGCCAAGUCUUCCGAUACUCAGGCCCUAAAGAGCUCCAGACAGCCCCCGCACGAAUGAUCAGCCCCGCAAAUGCUCUGAUAAAUUCAGGAGAGAAUCAUGCGGCCUACAGUCAUCCACUGAUGGAUUGUCCCGACCAGAAGUUACACAGGGAAGAGAUGAAACAAGCUCACCCUGCUUGGUUCUGGGCCAAGGCUUGGCUAUGCAGAACACAAGGCUGAGGAGGCCCUGAUCCCUCUUCGAGGCCUACUUGGGGAUAGCACGAUGUCCUGAGAGGUCACCCAGGCUGAACUCUGUAUCUGGCCCCUGACGGCCUCCCAGGUCCUGACCAGCUGGCCCCUGCUACACCCAGUGGCUGCAGAGCACUGUAGUGCUAAGUGUGUACUAAUGCACCAGGAGUCUGACCUAAUAAAG
This 835-nucleotide long non-coding RNA is filed under the name Heterocephalus glaber (naked mole-rat). RNAcentral's name for it is "lncRNA (ENSHGLG00100042283.1)". The record is from RNAcentral. Lineage: Eukaryota; Metazoa; Chordata; Mammalia; Rodentia; Bathyergidae.